Molecule: ribosomal RNA, 368 nt
Filed under: uncultured organism
Description: bacterial SSU rRNA
Rfam family: Bacterial small subunit ribosomal RNA
Source: RNAcentral
CGGAGGGUGCAAGCGUUAUCCGGAUUCACUGGGUUUAAAGGGUGCGUAGGUGGGCAGGUAAGUCAGUGGUGAAAUCUCUGGGCUUAACCCAGAAACUGCCGUUGAUACUAUCUGUCUUGAAUGUAGUGGAGGUGAGCGGAAUAUGUCAUGUAGCGGUGAAAUGCUUAGAUAUGACAUAGAACACCCAUUGCGAAGGCAGCUCGCUACACUAUUAUUGACACUGAGGCACGAAAGCGUGGGGAUCAAACAGGAUUAGAUACCCUGGUAGUCCACGCCCUAAACGAUGAUUACUCGACAUCGGCGAUACACAGUCGGUGUCUGAGCGAAAGCAUUAAGUAAUCCACCUGGGAAGUACGACCGCAAGGUUG